RNAcentral lists this long non-coding RNA (450 nucleotides) under Octopus vulgaris (common octopus). Lineage: Eukaryota; Metazoa; Mollusca; Cephalopoda; Octopoda; Octopodidae. The record is from RNAcentral.
UGUGUGUGUAUGAAUUUCAGACAUGUCUUUAACUAUUUUCCUCCCUUAAACCCACCCCAUACAUCUAACUGCAUCUUCAUUAUUUAACACUUUCUCUUUGUGACUGGAAAUUCAGUCUCCUGCAAGGAACCAACUAUGCAAUAACAUGUUUCUAUCUGGGCUCCAUGUGUGUCUACGUUCCUCUGUCUCUUGUCUCUACAUGCUUUGAUUAUUUGCUUCUCACUCUCUUUCUCAUGCGUAGCCUGAUUUACUUUGCUGCCUUCUUCACUGUGCCUUUUUUUCCCAGGAUGCAGUGCUGCCAAACCUUUCAUGGCUCCAAUGUUUAUUGGACAGAAAUUUUCUCCCCAUCUCCCUAUCUUCCAUAUCAUAUGUAAAAGAUUUGAUAAGCUAUGUUGUAAAUACACAAUAAAUAUGGGAUGAAUAAAACAAAGAAUGCAAGUUUGUGUUGUU